This 205-nucleotide unclassified non-coding RNA is filed under the name plant metagenome. Its description in RNAcentral is "partial contains 5.8S ribosomal RNA, internal transcribed spacer 2, and large subunit ribosomal RNA". The record is from RNAcentral.
GACAAUGCAGGUUGCUUCAAGAAAUCAGCGUUUUUGCAGUCGAACGUCGUUUCAACUCGCCUCGCAUUUUUGCGCGCAUUUAGAAUCCUUCGCGUUCUUCGCGUCCUUCGUAGUCACCUUUAGACCGUGGCGGCUAGGCGGGCGUCGGCGUUUUUGGGGAGCUUUUGUUGGAGGGUGAGGACGGGCUCGAAGAGGUCGCCGUGUU